GGUUAAGCGACUAAGCGUACACGGUGGAUGCCCUGGCAGUCAGAGGCGAUGAAGGACGUGCUAAUCUGCGAUAAGCGUCGGUAAGGUGAUAUGAACCGUUAUAACCGGCGAUUUCCGAAUGGGGAAACCCAGUGUGUUUCGACACACUAUCAUUAACUGAAUCCAUAGGUUAAUGAGGCGAACCGGGGGAACUGAAACAUCUAAGUACCCCGAGGAAAAGAAAUCAACCGAGAUUCCCCCAGUAGCGGCGAGCGAACGGGGAGCAGCCCAGAGCCUGAAUCAGUGUGUGUGUUAGUGGAAGCGUCUGGAAAGGCGCGCGAUACAGGGUGACAGCCCCGUACACAAAAAUGCACAUGCUGUGAGCUCGAUGAGUAGGGCGGGACACGUGGUAUCCUGUCUGAAUAUGGGGGGACCAUCCUCCAAGGCUAAAUACUCCUGACUGACCGAUAGUGAACCAGUACCGUGAGGGAAAGGCGAAAAGAACCCCGGCGAGGGGAGUGAAAAAGAACCUGAAACCGUGUACGUACAAGCAGUGGGAGCCUCUUUUAUGGGGUGACUGCGUACCUUUUGUAUAAUGGGUCAGCGACUUAUAUUCUGUAGCAAGGUUAACCGAAUAGGGGAGCCGAAGGGAAACCGAGUCUUAACUGGGCGUUAAGUUGCAGGGUAUAGACCCGAAACCCGGUGAUCUAGCCAUGGGCAGGUUGAAGGUUGGGUAACACUAACUGGAGGACCGAACCGACUAAUGUUGAAAAAUUAGCGGAUGACUUGUGGCUGGGGGUGAAAGGCCAAUCAAACCGGGAGAUAGCUGGUUCUCCCCGAAAGCUAUUUAGGUAGCGCCUCGUGAAUUCAUCUCCGGGGGUAGAGCACUGUUUCGGCAAGGGGGUCAUCCCGACUUACCAACCCGAUGCAAACUGCGAAUACCGGAGAAUGUUAUCACGGGAGACACACGGCGGGUGCUAACGUCCGUCGUGAAGAGGGAAACAACCCAGACCGCCAGCUAAGGUCCCAAAGUCAUGGUUAAGUGGGAAACGAUGUGGGAAGGCCCAGACAGCCAGGAUGUUGGCUUAGAAGCAGCCAUCAUUUAAAGAAAGCGUAAUAGCUCACUGGUCGAGUCGGCCUGCGCGGAAGAUGUAACGGGGCUAAACCAUGCACCGAAGCUGCGGCAGCGACACUGUGUGUUGUUGGGUAGGGGAGCGUUCUGUAAGCCUGUGAAGGUGUGCUGUGAGGCAUGCUGGAGGUAUCAGAAGUGCGAAUGCUGACAUAAGUAACGAUAAAGCGGGUGAAAAGCCCGCUCGCCGGAAGACCAAGGGUUCCUGUCCAACGUUAAUCGGGGCAGGGUGAGUCGACCCCUAAGGCGAGGCCGAAAGGCGUAGUCGAUGGGAAACAGGUUAAUAUUCCUGUACUUGGUGUUACUGCGAAGGGGGGACGGAGAAGGCUAUGUUGGCCGGGCGACGGUUGUCCCGGUUUAAGCGUGUAGGCUGGUUUUCCAGGCAAAUCCGGAAAAUCAAGGCUGAGGCGUGAUGACGAGGCACUACGGUGCUGAAGCAACAAAUGCCCUGCUUCCAGGAAAAGCCUCUAAGCAUCAGGUAACAUCAAAUCGUACCCCAAACCGACACAGGUGGUCAGGUAGAGAAUACCAAGGCGCUUGAGAGAACUCGGGUGAAGGAACUAGGCAAAAUGGUGCCGUAACUUCGGGAGAAGGCACGCUGAUAUGUAGGUGAAGUCCCUCGCGGAUGGAGCUGAAAUCAGUCGAAGAUACCAGCUGGCUGCAACUGUUUAUUAAAAACACAGCACUGUGCAAACACGAAAGUGGACGUAUACGGUGUGACGCCUGCCCGGUGCCGGAAGGUUAAUUGAUGGGGUCAGCGCAAGCGAAGCUCUUGAUCGAAGCCCCGGUAAACGGCGGCCGUAACUAUAACGGUCCUAAGGUAGCGAAAUUCCUUGUCGGGUAAGUUCCGACCUGCACGAAUGGCGUAAUGAUGGCCAGGCUGUCUCCACCCGAGACUCAGUGAAAUUGAACUCGCUGUGAAGAUGCAGUGUACCCGCGGCAAGACGGAAAGACCCCGUGAACCUUUACUAUAGCUUGACACUGAACAUUGAGCCUUGAUGUGUAGGAUAGGUGGGAGGCUUAGAAGUGUGGACGCCAGUCUGCAUGGAGCCGACCUUGAAAUACCACCCUUUAAUGUUUGAUGUUCUAACGUUGACCCGUAAUCCGGGUUGCGGACAGUGUCUGGUGGGUAGUUUGACUGGGGCGGUCUCCUCCUAAAGAGUAACGGAGGAGCACGAAGGUUGGCUAAUCCUGGUCGGACAUCAGGAGGUUAGUGCAAUGGCAUAAGCCAGCUUGACUGCGAGCGUGACGGCGCGAGCAGGUGCGAAAGCAGGUCAUAGUGAUCCGGUGGUUCUGAAUGGAAGGGCCAUCGCUCAACGGAUAAAAGGUACUCCGGGGAUAACAGGCUGAUACCGCCCAAGAGUUCAUAUCGACGGCGGUGUUUGGCACCUCGAUGUCGGCUCAUCACAUCCUGGGGCUGAAGUAGGUCCCAAGGGUAUGGCUGUUCGCCAUUUAAAGUGGUACGCGAGCUGGGUUUAGAACGUCGUGAGACAGUUCGGUCCCUAUCUGCCGUGGGCGCUGGAGAACUGAGGGGGGCUGCUCCUAGUACGAGAGGACCGGAGUGGACGCAUCACUGGUGUUCGGGUUGUCAUGCCAAUGGCACUGCCCGGUAGCUAAAUGCGGAAGAGAUAAGUGCUGAAAGCAUCUAAGCACGAAACUUGCCCCGAGAUGAGUUCUCCCUGACCCUUUAAGGGUCCUGAAGGAACGUUGAAGACGACGACGUUGAUAGGCCGGGUGUGUAAGCGCAGCGAUGCGUUGAGCUAACCGGUACUAAUGAACCGUGAGGCUUAACCUU
Molecule: ribosomal RNA, 2903 nt
Filed under: Escherichia coli
Lineage: Bacteria; Pseudomonadati; Pseudomonadota; Gammaproteobacteria; Enterobacterales; Enterobacteriaceae
Description: 23S ribosomal RNA
Rfam family: Bacterial large subunit ribosomal RNA
Source: RNAcentral